This 292-nucleotide ribosomal RNA is filed under the name uncultured bacterium. RNAcentral describes it as "partial 16S ribosomal RNA". It matches the Rfam family "Archaeal small subunit ribosomal RNA", at positions 455 to 747 of the family's 1478-position model. The record is from RNAcentral.
GUGCAGCCGCCGCGGUAACACCGGCAGCCCAAGUGAUGGCCGAUAUUAUUGGGCCUAAAGCGUCCGUAGCUGGCCGAACAAGUCCGUCGGGAAAUCCACGUGCUUAACACGUGGGCGACCGGCGGAAACUGUUCGGCUUGGGGCCGGAGGACCCGAGGGGUACGUCCGGGGUAGGAGUGAAAUCCUGUAAUCCUGGACGGACCGCCGGUGGCGAAAGCGCCUCGGGAAGACGGACCCGACAGUGAGGGACGAAAGCUGGGAUCUCGAACCGGAUUAGAAACCCUUGUAGUCC